GAAAUGCGAUAAGUAAUGUGAAUUGCAGAAUUCCGUGAAUCAUCGUAUCUUUGAACGCACAUUGCGCCCUCUGGUAUUCCGGGGGGCAUGCCUGUCCGAGCGUCAUUGCGAACCCCUCAAGCACGGCUUGUGUGAUGGGCCCUCCCGCGUCUUGGUCGUCAAGACGGGCCCGAAAUGCAGUGGCGGCUUCGCGGUUAUCCGAUCAGCCAGAGCGUAUGGGGACUUUCUCUCUGUCACACGCCCGCGGCGCGGACCGACGCCUGUCGACCUUCAUUCAUCGUUUUCUCGGUUGACCUCGGAUCAGGUAGGGAUACCCGCUGAACUUAAGC
This 329-nucleotide unclassified non-coding RNA is filed under the name plant metagenome. RNAcentral's name for it is "partial contains 5.8S ribosomal RNA, internal transcribed spacer 2, and large subunit ribosomal RNA". The stretch from base 1 to 105 matches the Rfam family "5.8S ribosomal RNA", at positions 50 to 154 of the family's 154-position model. The record is from RNAcentral.